GAUGAACGCUAGCGGGAGGCUUAACACAUGCAAGUCGAGGGGUAAAUGGCAGCAAUGCUAUGAGACCGGCGGACGGGUGAGUAACGCGUGAGAAACCUGCCUUUCACAAAGGGAUAGCCUCGGGAAACUGGGAUUAAUACCUUAUGAUACUUCAAAUUCGCAUGAAAUUGAAGUUAAAGCGUAAAGCGGUGAAAGAUGGUCUCGCGUCCCAUUAGUUAGUUGGUGAGGUAACGGCUCACCAAGACCGCGAUGGGUAGCCGGCCUGAGAGGGUGAACGGCCACACUGGAACUGAGACACGGUCCAGACUCCUACGGGAGCAGCAGUGGGGAAUAUUGCACAAUGGAGGAAACUCUGAUGCAGCGACGCCGCGUGAGUGAAAGAAGGCCCUU
RNAcentral lists this ribosomal RNA (390 nucleotides) under uncultured bacterium. RNAcentral's name for it is "bacterial SSU rRNA". It matches the Rfam family "Bacterial small subunit ribosomal RNA", at positions 28 to 419 of the family's 1533-position model. The record is from RNAcentral.